UCAGAAUUAUCAUUUAUAAUAUGUUAUUUUAGUUGUAUUUUUCUGAUGAUGGUCAGGUUCAUCGAGCCACACUCAGGCCUAAUCACUCAUUUGUUAGAUACACUAAAUUUUGGCAUGUUAAUGGUUGGAUCUAACCAGAACUUUUAGUGGAGGUGCCACAUGCUUGCUGAAGAGGUGUCUGACAUAAAAUUGAAUAUUAAAAAUUAUUUGAUGAAAUAAUUGGUUA
Molecule: long non-coding RNA, 226 nt
Filed under: Elaeis guineensis (African oil palm)
Lineage: Eukaryota; Viridiplantae; Streptophyta; Magnoliopsida; Arecales; Arecaceae
Description: long non-coding RNA (EGUI_LNC067146)
Source: RNAcentral